CCUUCGGUAGCUCAGCGGUAGAGCGCGGGAACGAAUUUGAGGAGGCCGUACCAAAUUUCGUCUCGAGGACGCUGGUUCAAUACCAGCUCGAAGGA
This is a non-coding RNA of Peniophora sp. CONT, 95 nucleotides long. NCBI's taxonomy places the organism in Eukaryota, Fungi, Basidiomycota, Agaricomycetes, Russulales, Peniophoraceae. The record is from the annotation of a GenBank genome assembly.